GAUGAACGCUGGCGGCGUGCCUAAUACAUGCAAGUCGAGCGAACGGACGAGAAGCUUGCUUCUCUGAUGUUAGCGGCGGACGGGUGAGUAACACGUGGAUAACCUACCUAUAAGACUGGGAUAACUUCGGGAAACCGGAGCUAAUACCGGAUGAUAUUUUGAACCGCAUGGUUCAAAAGUGAAAGACGGUCUUGCUGUCACUUAUAGAUGGAUCCUCGCUGCAUUAUCUAGUUGGUAAGGUAACGGCUUACCAAGGCAACGAUGCAUAGCCGACCUGAGAGGGUGAUCGGCCACACUGGAACUGAGACACGGUCCAGACUCCUACGGGAGGCAGCAGUAGGGAAUCUUCCGCAAUGGGCGAAAGCCUGACGGAGCAACGCCGCGUGAGUGAUGAAGGUCUUCGGAUCGUAAAACUCUGUUAUUAGGGAAGAACAUAUGUGUAAGUAACUGUGCACAUCUUGACGGUACCUAAUCAGAAAGCCACGGCUAACUACGUG
This 497-nucleotide ribosomal RNA is filed under the name uncultured bacterium. RNAcentral's name for it is "partial 16S ribosomal RNA". It matches the Rfam family "Bacterial small subunit ribosomal RNA", at positions 28 to 507 of the family's 1533-position model. The record is from RNAcentral.